GGGUUUCAUGGUCUUCAUGUCCUUAUCGGAACAAUUUUCUUAGCAAUUUCCCUACUACGAAUCUUUUUCAACCAUUACUCCACGGGCCAUCAUUUUGGAUUUGAAGCUGCUGCUUGGUACUGACACUUUGUCGAUGUAGUAUGGCUAUUUUUAUUCCUUUCAAUUUACUGAUGAGGGUCUUAAACUAGGUAGCUAAGAUCAAGCUUUAAACUUUUAAUUUAACUACACCCAUAGGGUCCUAGUUA
RNAcentral lists this transfer RNA (245 nucleotides) under Chaetoderma nitidulum. Its description in RNAcentral is "tRNA-Lys". The record is from RNAcentral. Lineage: Eukaryota; Metazoa; Mollusca; Caudofoveata; Chaetodermatida; Chaetodermatidae.